CCUACGGGAGGCUGCAGUGAGGAAUAUUGGUCAAUGGGCGCGAGCCUGAACCAGCCAAGUAGCGUGAAGGAUGACGGCCCUACGGGUUGUAAACUUCUUUUAUAAAGGAAUAAAGUGAGGCACGUGUGCCUUUUUGUAUGUACUUUAUGAAUAAGGAUCGGCGAACUCCGUGCCAGCAGCCGCGGUAAUACGGAGGAUCCGAGCGUUAUCCGGAUUUAUUGGGUUUAAAGGGAGCGUAGAUGGGUUGUUAAGUCAGUUGUGAAAGUUUGGGGCUCAACCGUAGAAUUGCAACUGAUACUGGCAGCCUUGAGUACAGUAGAGGUAGGCGGAAUUCGUGGUGUAGCGGUGAAAUGCUUAGAUAUCACGAAGAACUCCGAUUGCGAAGGCAGCUUACUAAACUGCGACUGACAUUGAUGCUCGAAAGUGUGGGUAUCAAACAGGAUUAGAUACCCUUGUAGUC
Molecule: ribosomal RNA, 460 nt
Filed under: uncultured bacterium
Lineage: Bacteria
Description: partial 16S ribosomal RNA
Rfam family: Bacterial small subunit ribosomal RNA
Source: RNAcentral